Molecule: unclassified non-coding RNA, 343 nt
Filed under: soil metagenome
Description: partial contains 5.8S ribosomal RNA, internal transcribed spacer 2, and large subunit ribosomal RNA
Rfam family: 5.8S ribosomal RNA (bases 1-120)
Source: RNAcentral
GAUGAAGAACGUAGCGAAAUGCGAUAAGUAAUGUGAAUUGCAGAAUUCAGUGAAUCAUCGAAUCUUUGAACGCACAUUGCGCCAGCCAGCAUUCUGGCGGGCAUGCCUGUUCGAGCGUCAUUUCAACCCUCGAGCCCCCCCGGGGGCCUCGGUGUUGGGGGACGGCACACCAGCCGCCCCCGAAAUGCAGUGGCGACCCCGCCGCAGCCUCCCCUGCGUAGUAGCACACACCUCGCACCGGAGCGCGGAGGCGGUCACGCCGUAAAACGCCCAACUUUCUUAGAGUUGACCUCGGAUCAGGUAGGAAUACCCGCUGAACUUAAGCAUAUCAAUAAGCGGAGGA